CGUAGGUGGCGAGCGUUGUCCGGAAUUACUGGGUGUAAAGGGCGUGUAGGCGGGAAUGUAAGUCAGAUGUGAAAUUUCAGGGCUCAACCCUGGCGCUGCAUCUGAAACUAUGUUUCUUGAGUGCUGGAGAGGAAAGCGGAAUUCCUAGUGUAGCGGUGAAAUGCGUAGAUAUUAGGAGGAACACCAGUGGCGAAGGCGGCUUUCUGGACAGUAACUGACGCUGAGGCGCGAAAGCGUGGGGAGCAAACAGGAUUAGAUACCCUGGUAGUCCACGCUGUAAACGAUGGAUACUAGGUGUAGGAGGUAUCGACCCCUUCUGUGCCGCAGUUAACACAAUAAGUAUCCCACCUGGGGAGUACGGCCGCAAGGUUG
This 372-nucleotide ribosomal RNA is filed under the name uncultured organism. Its description in RNAcentral is "bacterial SSU rRNA". It matches the Rfam family "Bacterial small subunit ribosomal RNA", at positions 526 to 896 of the family's 1533-position model. The record is from RNAcentral.